AUGCAUCGGCCUCCCCAGGUGCUGCCUCCAAGCAUCUCAGAGGGCAAGAUAGUUACUCUUCUCACCAUCCUCUCUCCAGGAGAACUAUCUUCAGGCUUAUCUUCCCACUCUGCAAAGUGGGACAAAGUCCUCAGCUCUAGGCCUGCUUUCUGUCUUCCUGGCUGUGCUAGCGUUAGGCAUGGCACGUCAGGGCCCACGCGGCCCUGUGGAUGUUACUGCAGUGACACCAAUCCACAGAGGGUGUUCAGCCUUCCCUCCAGCGUGUGGCAAAAUGACCUGUGUUUGGAUGUGUGCAUGCCUGUGUGCUCACCAAAUGCACUGGGAAGAAAUGUUGAAUGGAUUUUUUUUCUGUUUCGAAGAGAGAUGGGCAGCACGGAUGUACCUAUGAAAGAGAGGGCAAAGCAGACACAGGAUGUGUGCUGA
RNAcentral lists this long non-coding RNA (423 nucleotides) under Phasianus colchicus (ring-necked pheasant). RNAcentral's name for it is "lncRNA (ENSPCLG00000004456.1)". The record is from RNAcentral. Lineage: Eukaryota; Metazoa; Chordata; Aves; Galliformes; Phasianidae.